This 1385-nucleotide ribosomal RNA is filed under the name uncultured bacterium. Its description in RNAcentral is "bacterial SSU rRNA". It matches the Rfam family "Bacterial small subunit ribosomal RNA". The record is from RNAcentral.
AUCGGAACGUACCUUUCAGUGGGGGAUAACGUAGCGAAAGUUACGCUAAUACCGCAUAUUCUGUGAGCAGGAAAGCAGGGGACCUUCGGGCCUUGCGCUGAUUGAGCGGCCGAUAUCAGAUUAGCUAGUUGGUGAGGUAAAGGCUCACCAAGGCGACGAUCUGUAGCGGGUCUGAGAGGAUGAUCCGCCACACUGGAACUGAGACACGGUCCAGACUCCUACGGGAGGCAGCAGUGGGGAAUUUUGGACAAUGGGGGCAACCCUGAUCCAGCCAUGCCGCGUGAGUGAAGAAGGCCUUCGGGUUGUAAAGCUCUUUCGGCCGGGAAGAAAUCGCAUCAGCUAAUACCUGGUGUGGAUGACGGUACCGGAAUAAGAAGCACCGGCUAACUACGUGCCAGCAGCCGCGGUAAUACGUAGGGUGCGAGCGUUAAUCGGAAUUACUGGGCGUAAAGCGUGCGCAGGCGGUUUGUUAAGAUAGGCGUGAAAUCCCCGGGCUCAACCUGGGAACUGCGUUUAUGACUGGCAGGCUAGAGUAUGGCAGAGGGGGGUGGAAUUCCACGUGUAGCAGUGAAAUGCGUAGAGAUGUGGAGGAACACCGAUGGCGAAGGCAGCCCCCUGGGCCAAUACUGACGCUCAUGCACGAAAGCGUGGGUAGCAAACAGGAUUAGAUACCCUGGUAGUCCACGCCCUAAACGAUGUCAACUAGGUGUUGGGUGGGUAAAACCAUUUAGUACCGGAGCUAACGCGUGAAGUUGACCGCCUGGGGAGUACGGCCGCAAGGUUAAAACUCAAAGGAAUUGACGGGGACCCGCACAAGCGGUGGAUGAUGUGGAUUAAUUCGAUGCAACGCGAAAAACCUUACCUACCCUUGACAUGGCAGGAAUCCCUGAGAGAUCAGGGAGUGCUCGAAAGAGAACCUGCACACAGGUGCUGCAUGGCUGUCGUCAGCUCGUGUCGUGAGAUGUUGGGUUAAGUCCCGCAACGAGCGCAACCCUUGUCAUUAGUUGCUACGAAAGGGCACUCUAAUGAGACUGCCGGUGACAAACCGGAGGAAGGUGGGGAUGACGUCAAGUCCUCAUGGCCCUUAUGGGUAGGGCUUCACACGUCAUACAAUGGUACAUACAGAGGGCCGCCAACCCGCGAGGGGGAGCUAAUCCCAGAAAGUGUAUCGUAGUCCGGAUUGUAGUCUGCAACUCGACUACAUGAAGUUGGAAUCGCUAGUAAUCGCGGAUCAGCAUGUCGCGGUGAAUACGUUCCCGGGUCUUGUACACACCGCCCGUCACACCAUGGGAGCGGGUUUCACCAGAAGUAGGUAGCUUAACCGCAAGGAGGGCGCUUACCACGGUGGGAUUCGUGACUGGGGUGAAGUCGUAACAAGGUAACCA